Molecule: long non-coding RNA, 1976 nt
Organism: Triticum aestivum (bread wheat)
Lineage: Eukaryota; Viridiplantae; Streptophyta; Magnoliopsida; Poales; Poaceae
Exons: 3
Source: RefSeq, a predicted model, not a curated record
AAAAAGAAAAAAGAAUUUUCUGAGAUGAGAUGAGAGGUGGGGCGCUCGUCUCUCCGGGCUCCGGCGACGGGGCCGUGCCAGGCAGCAGCGGAGUGUCCGCCCCAUCAUGUUGUGUUUAGUAAGUGACCGAAUCGUGAGCCCGUGACCGGGAGCGACCAAACCGGAAUCGCAAUCCUCCUAAUUUGGGUCCGACCUAACCGUCGCCACUCGCUCGCUCCAAACCCUAGCUAGCUACCUACCUCGCGCCGCCGUCUCCGGCGCCCUCGGCCCUUCCGCUCCGUCAAACCGCCGGUGGCUGCGCGAGGUUCCCCUCCCCAGCGUGGCGCUCUUCAGCAUCGCCGCCCACCCCGAGGGCGCCGCCCUCCGCAAGGUCUUCAGCCCAUCCCCGACAGUGAGAUUCGCUGACAGACAAGCCGCCUGCCCAAGGUCACAACGUCGAGGUUUUCCCAGAUCAGGUAGCUUACCAAGCUGACCGCUUGGUUUGAUCUGAAGUCUCUACUUGCCUACCCGAUGCAAGUUAUGGUUACUCUUUACGAUAAUUCAGUAAUACCAAGAUAUCCCGUUCAUAAGGAUUUUGUCCUAAUACUCUUGACUAAAUGCAGCUGCUUUUGCUUUUUACAGCCAACAACCAACAUGGUAACGUACAAGUCUCUACUUGACUACUCGGAUAGGACGUCUCAAGUUAAAGCACCUGAAACAUGGGAUCAUAUGAAUUAUGAGGAUGACCAAGUUCGUGCACCUAAAACUCAGUGCACAUCUUACUUGGAUUGAAUUUAAGUUCGUGACGUAUAUCUGGUUUAGUUGUCUAUACACAUCUCAGUCUUGUAGGUUGUGAAAUUGUCAGUUUGUAUAUCAGUAUGUCACCAAUGUUAUAUGUGCUACACCAUCAUUACUUAUGCAAUGGGCAUAUUUCCUAUUUAGAAAAGAUGUGCUCUUCCCACAAAAUAGAUUAUAUUUAAGUAUAUAUUCAUCAAAGGCAGUAAGCUGCACUUGCUCCCUAGGUAUGUGGGUUUCCCUUCUACAGGUGUUAUCUCCAAUGAACAUUUGGUGAAUAGAGAAAUGGAUUUAUGAGAUUGACAUUGUCCUGUUUAGACUAUCCACCCAAGCAGGGAUAGAAGUUUGACUACUCUGGACCUGUAUUUUUGUUAGGAACAACACUACCAUAGUAAUUAAUGUCCAUAGUUCAAAAAUAAUGUUGACAUAGUGAAGGGCUUGCGCCAUAUAAAAAUAUUAUUUUAUAACUAAAUCGUCGUGUCACAUGGAUUGGAUGUCAACACGAUAGUGAUCUCACCCAGUACACCUUUUGCAAUAUUAACCGCAGUAAAUCAUUUUUUUAUGAUGUCUAUGUAUCUAACUGGCUGUGACAGGAGAUAGAUCAUUUUCAGGCAAUAGGAAUCAUUGGAUCAUUUUGCAUUAAUGAUGUUAGUUUUUGGGGAGGCAAUUGUUUUGCAGUGCAUCCCUUUCCUAAGCAGAGCGAAAUUUAUCUGACAUGUAAUGCAUUCAGAUUGUGGUGUUGCUUACAUUUCAGCUUGUAGCUGAGGACUGGAAUAGGCUGCGAAUCCUGAGCCGUGGUGGAAAUUGGGUUAAUUAAAUACUCCAAGACUGCAACUGUUAUCUAUGGAUGAAAUAACCAAACUAACUCGCAAGAAAACAGUCUCCAUGGUCUGAAUGACCAAACAGCGAACACAUAUAUGCUUUGCUCUCAUGGGGAGGGCUUCAGGAGACAGGAGCCUCGAUGCGCUGAAGAGAGGGGCUGAGCUGCCGAGGGACCAAUUUUGUGGCUCUGAUGAGAAUCCUUUGAGAUGCUACUAGUGACAACCCUACGGUAACCAAGUGAAGGUUUUGCUGUUGCUGCAUUUGGCUCGGUCUGUGGGUCUGGGGGAUGUCUUUUGCGAGCAUCCUGGUUACCUUUCCGUAUGUAAUGAAGUGGUUGUGAUGCUGUGAUUCCAGUUAAUGUUAUGCCUUUUGCCUUUCCA